RNAcentral lists this ribosomal RNA (231 nucleotides) under uncultured bacterium. RNAcentral's name for it is "partial 16S ribosomal RNA". It matches the Rfam family "Bacterial small subunit ribosomal RNA", at positions 99 to 334 of the family's 1533-position model. The record is from RNAcentral.
CGGACGGGUGAGUAAUGUCUGGGAAACUGCCCGAUGGAGGGGGAUAACUACUGGAAACGGUAGCUAAUACCGCAUAACGUCGCAAGACCAAAGAGGGGACCUUCGGGCCUCUUGCCAUCGGAUGUGCCCAGAUGGGAUUAGCUAGUAGGUGGGGUAACGGCUCACCUAGGCGACGAUCCCUAGCUGGUCUGAGAGGAUGACCAGUCACACUGGAACUGAGACACGGUCCAG